This is a long non-coding RNA of Gadus macrocephalus (Pacific cod), 6249 nucleotides long. RefSeq lists it as uncharacterized. The transcript is spliced from 2 exons. Lineage: Eukaryota; Metazoa; Chordata; Actinopteri; Gadiformes; Gadidae. The record is from RefSeq and is a predicted model, not a curated record.
UAAUAAUACAUUUAAUUUAGAGGCGCCUUUCAAGACACCCAAGGUCACCUUACAGAGCAUAUAGUCAUCAUUCAAAACUAUGUAAAACAGACUAGGAAUAAAAGGAAAACAGAGAAGGAGGAGCAAUGGAGAGAGGAUCAUGAGGGGGAGGAUAGAGUCGAAGAAGAGAGAGAUUUACAUUGAGGGAAUUUACCAGACGCUUUUAUCCAAAGCGACUUGAGGCAACGAAAGAUGAGGAAGAGUAGGAGAGUGGACAGCUUGUGAGGAGGAGGGAGGAGGAUGAGGUCAAACAAUUGUGACUUCAGUGAAACGCGAUACAAAAGGUGUCUCUUGCACGUUAUUGUGUGUAUUAUGCUAAAUAAAGCACUCUUGUCAUGUGUUUCAUGACAUUAGUUAACAGGUAAACACACAUGAUAAGAUUUUACCCUAAUUCUGUCUUUUAGCAGACAGCCUAAAGUUAAUUAUUGCCCACAAUCUGCUCAUAGACGCAGGAAGCCAUUGUCUGUUCAUCCGUCUGUCUGCGUUAUUAAAGAAAAGGGAAGGGCGAUUGUUAAGAGAGACGAGCGGAGGAGAAAGUGCAGAAAAGGGGUAAACCAGAGUUGAGAGAAAGGACAGCGGGAGAAGAAGAGAGGCGGGGCAGAUAAGAGACUAGCGUAAAUAAACUGCAAGCCUUCGUGUUACGGUGCUGCUGAUGAAACCCAAUGCAAGCAGAGGAUCACCAGGGCGCUCAGACCAGACCCACGAGAAGUAGAGGAGGCCAAAAGAGUGAACACGCGGACGGUCUGGUCGUUUGGGAGAACAAUGCAGUGACAUGUUUAUCCGGGUGUGUGUGACCACGCGCUGGCCAAUAGGAAUGAGGAAGUGAGAGCUGGAGAGGGAGGGCAGAGUCUAGGCAUGCGGGGCCAUGGCACAAAACAAUGCCCGCUGCCAUGCAGACGUAAACAUUCACCAGUGACUACUUGGUGUGUUGUCGCCGCUGUAAAGGCCCCUUUGGCGACCGUAGCGUGAUGUAAACAUUCACACCGGCCUGUUGGCCUCGAGUUAGAAACCGUGGCGAGCAACACCACAGAAGGCUAUUUCAGAGGGGCGUGGCGUGGAAACAAAAGCUUCCUGGUUCUACUUUGCUUUACCAUCUGCGAUGCAUUCCCCCUGGGACCCAGACACUGUCGUCUUCAGAACCCACCCCACAAUAUUGACUCAUUUCUAGACAUAGCCAGAAUAAAACAGAACAUGGCAACGCUUUGACAUUCAGUUGUUUUGUUUAGUUCCUUUAUGAAUCUGAACAAUAUUCAUACACUUUAACAUGACAAGGAGAUACAACGACACUCAGUGUGGAUUUGCACAUGAAGAGACCUAUGGAGACGCUUGCAGAGCAUCAUACGCUUUUACAAGGGAGCUGUUGUGUGUGGAGUUGAUGUGACAUAACCUCGGACAAAACCGACGUCACAUGUCUCACAUGAAGGCCAAAGUUUCUAUAGAACUCAGGGUCAUUAGCUCCUUGUAACCUCCCCAUAUGCCUAGCUGAAGCCACUGUAAACAGUGGUCCUUCUGGGGAGUGCAUGUCACACAGCUGUUUGGUUGAGACCAGUCAAUAGCAUGCAAACAACCCUGAAGUAUGUCCUGUGGGUAUGGUACACAAGUAUUUGUGGAUAUUGCUGUGCACUGUGUAAAGUAAACCAACUUGUAUACAUAAAUAGACAGAAAUGUGUCAUGCACUGAGUAGAAGACAUUCAUACAGCAAACCAAAAACCCAGCACAGGAACUCACAUUUGUUCAGGGGUUAGUUAGGGUACAAACUGUCCGCUGCCUCUGCGUGUUUAAAUAGCAGACAGAGUGGGGAAAUAGAAACGGGCAUUGUUUGAGCUGAACAAAAGAGUCUUCCAACCUCCUCACCCUAAAGCUCUCUAUAGUGGUUCUAUAGGACGAGCCUACUAUACCAGAAGCCCUGCUCCGAACAGUGACAACAGACCCGGCCCAGCCUUUAAACAAUUCGUUAGAAACACGUCGUAAGAAACACACUGGAGUAUUGAUGCUUAUUUGGAAACAACCUUUGAAGGGAUGCUUGCAGCAGGGCCAGGACAUAAACGUUAGGACCUUUGAAAAUAUACGGUCCACUGCUACUAAACUACAGAAGUAACAUUUUUAGAAAAACAAUUCGACAAAAACAAUCAGAUGUCCAGACCUGGAAAUCCGUCAAUCGGACGACCAUAAUAGACUCGGUUGGCAGCACGCAAAGAGUGGAGCAGCGUGGAGUGGUCGCGCGUGGCUAACCGACCGAAGGGGGGCUGGAGGGUGGAGGGGUGGGUGGUGGGCUGUCGGUGAAGCCAAUUUGCGGAAUUAAGAUCUUAUAGAGGUUGCACGAAGCAUCGUUUUGUAUGAUACCCCAUUCCGUCUAAAAACCAGAGUGCAUCUGGCGCCGCGUUUGCACAUAUUGGCUGAUCUGGAAGAAAGGAAUAGGCUACACACUGUCCUCUCCGUGUCCUUGCAGCUGGCAGACAAAGUAACAAGCUUUUCAAUCGCAAAUUUACGUUCCAAUCCUAGUCAUGUCCAAAAGUCGUCCCUAAACUGUCCUAAUAUUUGUUUUUUUGUUUUUAAAAUAAAUAAAUAGACAACUACGAGGUUAAAAGCGGUCCUGUGUUCACAGCUGUACAGCGGACCGCCUGAUCUAAACAACCGGAGAGAGAAACGGUACCAUGGCCGCGCGACCCGCAUGGCACACGCGGGCGAGAAUAGGCACGACAGGGGUUCGCCCGACCCCUCAAAACAUUGCCCAAAUGUUAGCACAAAUGUUUAAUUGCAUCCAUACCAUGUACUCCCGCGAUCCGUGGUAUCAGGUUCAAACAAUCCCAGAGCUCCGAUGCGAAGACUAAAAAAAAUUAGGGGCGCAGCUGGCGCUGCCACCGGAUGUCCAAUAUUAAUAGUUAAUACCGCACACCGCCAGAGAGCAAGGUUUGGUAGCGUCUCCCACCACUCACAGAACACACUGGGCAGCCGCAGAUACACCGCUUCCCACGGAUUAAAACAAGCACAACACUUGGGAGGGAGACGCCAUGGGGUCCAGAAGCGGGAUUACAUCAUGGAACACCAGACAGCGAGACGUACACCUACCGCUCCUAGUCAAACUUCUCCUCUCCCUACCUGCUUACAACAUCUUGCUUAUCAAUGAAAUAACUAAAGUGCACUGUUGAAGGCAUGGUCUGUACUUGUGAUCUCAAGAUCAUAUAUUAUCUACAACCACACACACACACACACACACACACACACACACACACACACACACACACACACACACACACACACACACACACACACACACACACACACACACACACACACACACACAUCUGACACUAUUCAGAGAUGUGUUUUGUGUAUAGAAGCACAAGGCUUUAUUGUUUAUCAGUCUGCUUAGAAAGGAACAAAUCAAUGACAACAAAGAGAGCAUUGACAAAGCCGGAUGUAUCAUGUUUUUAUUUCCACACGUUAUCUGACAAUGCCACUUGACGUCACGCACCACAUCGAUUUUGCACAAGGUAAUUUCUUCUCAACUCGACACACAUUUAGGCUUAUGAUUUUCUGUUACCAUGGUGACCACAACAAAAUUACAAACACCUUUAUGAGUCCAGGACUUAAUUUCGAAAGGAUCGACAGCGCUCCAGUUGUCAUCUAAACACAAGACAUUCAUACACACUAAAACCGUCCAAGAUAUAAAGGCAGGUUUUUCAUUUCUAAACACAAGGCGCAAGAUUUUUCUGCUUUGGACAAACUAAUCUUUACCCCACCCGAAUGUGGCGUAGUAGCGGUACAGUAUUUCCUGUCCUUGUGUUAACCACUGCACUGAUGGGGUGGGGGGGGGGGGGGGGAGAUAUCUUGUCAUGGUCACUCCAUGGUCGGAGGAGAACAGAGGAGAAGGGUAGGGGAGGCGCGGGCAAUCCCUCUGGGACAAAAUGUCACCAACACAACUACGGGCCAACAGAAAUUAACGGAAAAGAUAGAACACAAUUUGGUCUUUCUAAGAAGUAGCUGUAUAUAUUGAUUUUAAGAUUAUUUUUGGCUGAAGCAAAGGUGGUUUUAGAGAGGAACAGGUGGGUGGUAAGUAGUGGUGGUGGUGGGAGUGUGUGUGGGUGGGGGGUGGAGGGGCUGUGAUGCUCGUGGGCAGAUGUUGGGGGACUUGAAACUCCAUGGCUGCCUACGUUCAAGGGAUUUAACAUGCAUAACAAUCCUGGGAUAUGGAGGGUGCUAGCUAACACAGAGUCAGCUACCAAGCAUUAAGCUAAAUAUAGCGUACCGGUUGCUAGAGGAAAUUUAUCCCUGGCACGAUACAGAGGCAUUAGGCUAUUGUAUCCACCAAAUGCACUUAUGCCGAGUGCAUCUGGUGGAUUUAUUUGACCAUUUACAGACUCCAGGUUGGGGAUGGUCUGAUGGAUGGUCCCAGUCACUGGUGUAACCGACAUAGAGGCCUUCUAAAGCAGGAAAAUCUCCUCCUGUGUGUUCCCUGUCGUAUUAAAUAUCUGCAGACCUUAUUUGGACCCAAAUCCUGACUGUCAUUGGUACUUUUUUUAAUUUGUUAUUAUCAAUCGCAUCUCUAUCCUGUCAUCACAGCUAUAGCCAAGUUUGGGUCAAAAGUGAUUUCCUAAUUUUACUUUGGGCCGCACACAUUGGGUUUAGGGGUGGGGACAAGUAGCUGGGGGGGUCAGUAGGAUCUCCAUGGCAACAGGGACCAAUAAUAACAUGACGUGGAUGGGGGUGAAAGAGAAAUGCCGGCUCCGCGAGAUUCUGACGGCUUGGGUCCAAACAUUUACCAGAUAAACGCUUCCCAUGCACCUCAUAAACACACACAUACCCGUUUAGUAAUAUAUUACCUACACACACACAAAGACAUGCAUACGAACCAACAUACACACGCAUACACACACACUUCACAUCCUGUAAGUCAGACUGCAUGAACAUCUCAAGCUCAUGUGAGCGCCUGAAUAAAUACUAAAAGUUAAAUAAAAAAAAGUGUUCCCUGAUGAUAGCCACAUGCUCGCACAAAUGUAAACAAAAUAACUGCAAAAAAAUAACAGACUAUACGUUUCAAAAUAUUUACGCUGAACACGGCCACCAUGAGAGGCUAAGCAACACACAAUGGACCUUAUGUAAAACCAUCACAAAAUAACAUCCUAUACACAACCUUGGCUGGUCACAUCCAACACUACACUAGGGACGUUCCUGCAAUAUUCACAACAACGUUGUGAGGACCUUCAGGGGAAGUGUGAGGGGAAUGACGGUAACAGUGAUGUCAGUACCGAGCGGUGAUUUGUUGAGGAUGAGGGGGAGGGGCUUCAUCUGGAACACCAAGACCGGAAUGACGACAGAUAGUUCCGGGUAUUUAAUACCUGGUAGCCCUGGGGACGGAUCGAUAGAUACAUACAGGAAGAAGAAGAAGAAAGAGAGAGAGAGAUAACAGUUAAUAUUCAAUUUGUUAUAUUUUUGCUCAUGGAUCUAUUUUACACACUUAAACACUGAAUGUUAAAUAAUUAUAUAAGGUGCAAGCAAACAAAAAGGAAAAUUAAAGUAAUGAUUAGUUGAAUGUUAAUUCAUAAAUGGGCUAAUUAUUUUUUUGAUCAAUUAAUGAACGCAUAAAAGAUUUAUGAAUGAAUGAAUGAAUGCCCUAAUUAACCACUAUAUGGAUGAUCUAAUUCAUGAAUUAAAAAAUUAACUAGUACCACAACUAGCCUUGGAACCAGACGAAUGUUCAAGUUAGUGUUUUAUUUGCUCUUCAAUAUGCUACUGGUGCUAUACAGGUGCUAUAGAAUAUACCCCCCCCCCCUUUUCAGCAGCACUGGCCCAGGUCAGGCCAAUCACAACUGUUUAUCUGACGUAUGAUUACGUAACAGAGGAGCACCCUAUGGGAGAGCCAUUGAGGAAACAACCAAGAGGGCAGCAUCACACAUUGAGUUGCUCUGAUUGGUUGUAGGUCUUUACAAUUCAGUCCAGAGUUAUUUUGGUCUGCGGCUGUCGAUAACCCCCCUUGGAAAUCGAGAGUGGUUCCAGUCUAACGCACAUCUGCUAGAGUCAGGUUACUUGUAUCCUCAUUCAUAAACUAAUACAUGAACUUAUUUAUGAAUGAAUGAAUGGUUACUGAAAACUUGGACUAGACUCACCUGGCUCCUUUACUCCCAGAAGUAAAGUAAGUACCAUAUAGUUUCAUUCUUCAGCUGAGGGCCAAACAGAGGGUUGGUCUGGGCCAGAAUUGCUAUCAACCAA